Molecule: ribosomal RNA, 450 nt
Filed under: uncultured bacterium
Lineage: Bacteria
Description: partial 16S ribosomal RNA
Rfam family: Bacterial small subunit ribosomal RNA
Source: RNAcentral
GUGGGGAAUCUUCCGCAAUGGACGAAAGUCUGACGGAGCAACGCCGCGUGAGUGAUGAAGGUCUUCGGAUUGUAAAGCUCUGUUAAUCGGGACGAAAGAGCCUAGUGUGAAUAAUGCUAGGAAGUGACGGUACCGGAAUAGAAAGCCACGGCUAACUACGUGCCAGCAGCCGCGGUAAUACGUAGGUGGCAAGCGUUGUCCGGAAUUAUUGGGCGUAAAGCGCGCGCAGGCGGAUCUGCCAGUCUGUCUUAAAAGUUCGGGGCUUAACCCCGUGAUGGGAUGGAAACUACAGAUCUAGAGUAUCGGAGAGGAAAGUGGAAUUCCUAGUGUAGCGGUGAAAUGCGUAGAUAUUAGGAAGAACACCAGUGGCGAAGGCGACUUUCUGGACGAAAACUGACGCUGAGGCACGAAAGCCAGGGGAGCGAACGGGAUUAGAAACCCUAGUAGUCC